GAUGAACGCUGGCGGCGUGCCUAAUACAUGCAAGUCGAGCGAAAAGACGAGGAGUUUGCUCCUCUGACGUUUGCCGCGGAGGGGAGUGUAACACGUGGAUAACCCACUUAUAAGUCUGGGAACACUUGGGGACACCGGAUCAAACAGCGGAUGAUAUAUUGAACCGCAUGGGUCGAUAGUGAAAGUCGGCGUUUGUGUCACGUCUCGAUGGUUCCGCGCCGCUUUAUCUAGUUGUUGAGGUAACGGGUUACCACGGCGACGAUGCGUAGCCGACCGGUGAGGGUGAUCGGCCACAUUAGAGCUGAGACACGGACCUGACUCCUGCGAGAGGCAGCAGUAGGGAACCGGCCGCAAUAGGCGGAAGCCUUACAGAGCAACGCGGCGUGAGUGAUGAAAGUCUUCGGAGCGGGAAACUCUGUUAUUAGGGAUGAACAGAUGUGUAAUGAGCUGUACACGUCUUGACGGUACCUAAUCAGAAAGCCACGGCUAACUACGUG
Molecule: ribosomal RNA, 497 nt
Filed under: uncultured bacterium
Lineage: Bacteria
Description: partial 16S ribosomal RNA
Rfam family: Bacterial small subunit ribosomal RNA
Source: RNAcentral